GCUUAAAACUAUCAGAUUUUUAAAUUCUGAGGAUUUUGGCGAGCGAUAAUCUAUCUACGCGUUUCGGUUCGCAGGCUCAGGAAAAAUUAAACAAAUACCGAGUACUGUUAAACGAGAGGUCGUAACAGCAAAAACAAAAACAACAGAAGACGGCAAGGUUACGGCACUCACGGUGACGAUGAUAAUAACAAACGGUAAUUUUUACGCGG
Molecule: non-coding RNA, 209 nt
Organism: Cinara cedri
Lineage: Eukaryota; Metazoa; Arthropoda; Insecta; Hemiptera; Aphididae
Source: the annotation of a GenBank genome assembly